Pelobates fuscus (common spadefoot toad) is the source of this 216-nucleotide long non-coding RNA. RefSeq lists it as uncharacterized. The transcript has 3 exons. NCBI's taxonomy places the organism in Eukaryota, Metazoa, Chordata, Amphibia, Anura, Pelobatidae. The record is from RefSeq and is a predicted model, not a curated record.
CAAUGACAUACAUCCCAUCGGAUGGGCCUCCCAGGGCUGCGGCUCACUCAAAGAACCGGUCGGGCAGAAAGGAGUGGAGACUGGGUGAGCAUCUAACGGAGGAGGGAAGUGAGUUCCACAGGAACGGUGCAGCCUUCGAGAAGUCUUGAAGGCGAGCAUCAGAGGUCUCGAACUCUUUUGAUGCUGCGCAUAGGACAAGCAGUGGCUUGUCCACUA